AUUGAACGCUGGCGGCAUGCUUUACACAUGCAAGUCGAACGGUAACAGGUUAAGCUGACGAGUGGCGAACGGGUGAGUAAUGCAUCGGAACGUGCCCAAUCGUGGGGGAUAACGCAGCGAAAGCUGCGCUAAUACCGCAUACGAUCUGAGGAUGAAAGCGGGGGACCGUAAGGCCUCGCGCGAUCGGAGCGGCCGAUGUCAGAUUAGGUAGUUGGUGGGGUAAAGGCCCACCAAGCCGACGAUCUGUAGCUGGUCUGAGAGGACGACCAGCCACACUGGGACUGAGACACGGCCCAGACUCCUACGGGAGGCAGCAGUGGGGAAUUUUGGACAAUGGGCGAAAGCCUGAUCCAGCAAUGCCGCGUGCAGGAAGAAGGCCUUCGGGUUGUAAACUGCUUUUGUACGGAGCGAAAAGGUCCUUUCUAAUACAGGGGGCUCAUGACGGUAACAUAUGAAUAAGCACCGGCUAACUACGUGCCAGCCGCCGCCGUAA
RNAcentral lists this ribosomal RNA (493 nucleotides) under uncultured bacterium. Its description in RNAcentral is "partial 16S ribosomal RNA". It matches the Rfam family "Bacterial small subunit ribosomal RNA", at positions 30 to 523 of the family's 1533-position model. The record is from RNAcentral.